GCCAGAAACCUGAAUAGACACGGUUCGGGGCAGACAGUCUGUCUGAGUUGCUACAGUCUUCUCGAGACAAGCUCUCGUUCUGGUCAAGACCACGGUUGGCAACAGUACAAGACAGCGGCAACAGGAAGGACCACAUGCCCGAAGGAUGGCUCAGACCCUGGAGCUGCCCCGAGAAACUGUAUAAAAGCACUGGGAGCACCGAGCUCUUCAAACCACUCUUCUCGGCUUCUCUCUGGUGGUGAACUGAGCUUACUUCCAGCCAGAAAGAUGUCUUCCUAUAGGCAGAUCUGCAAUUACUCGCCCUGUGACGUGAGCUGCCCAGCGCCAUACGCCAAUGCCUGGAACGAGCCCUGCGUCACCUCCUGCGGGGACUCCCGUGCCGUGGUCUACCCGCCACCUGUGACCAUCGUCUUCCCGGGCCCCAUCCUCAGCUCCUGCCCUCAGGAGAGCUUUGUGGGCACCUCAGCCCCACUGGAGAUAGGCAGCUCCUUUGGCUAUGAGAGGUCCUUUGGGGCCGGUGCCUCCUUGGGUGGCAAGUACUCCUACCCCUGCUAUUCCCGCAGGUACACAAGUUAUAGCCGUGGGAGCUCUGGGCCCUGCUAAGCUAUGCAAGGAUUCCCCGGAGAGCUGGACCCAGUGGGGACCAGAGAAAAGUCCAGUCCAUGAGUGAGCAGAAGAGCAUGGCUUCCAGAGGGACAGCGCACUGGGCUCAGCCACACUGAGAAACAAGCCCGGACACUAAAUUUCCUUUCCUGGUGGAUUAGGUAUCUGCUAACAAGAUCUCAACACUGUGUUUGAGUGGCCUUUUACAUGACAAAUACAGAAAAGACCACAGUUUAAGAUCAAAUUGUUUAUAGAAGACUAACCGUCAGUGCAAGUUAGAUCCUGUUUAUUUUGACCUUUCUUGAUAUAUGGACUGAUGUUUAAUGGCUUUUGAGAUCUAGUGGAAAAAACUGCUUGAAGGUCUGGUUAGGUUCUGAGAGGUACCCUGUUUCACAGUGUCUCGGAUUAAAAAAAACCCAAACGUAUAUAUAUAUAAUUUAAAAAAGCAAACAGGUGAAACCUAAACUCAACUCUAAAAUGCUGCAAAAUGCAAUGAACACAGAAGAUCAUAUUUCAAACUGAAGCCCUAAAAGAAGACAAUCACAUGCCCAGCAAACCUUAAAAAUGUAUUCUGUACUCUCUCUGGGUUGUCAUGUUCUGCUGCUAUGAAGUCCUUGUACUGUUUCAAUUAAAGCUUCUGUUGCAUCACAA
This is a long non-coding RNA of Columba livia (rock pigeon), 1254 nucleotides long. RefSeq lists it as uncharacterized. The record is from RefSeq and is a predicted model, not a curated record. Lineage: Eukaryota; Metazoa; Chordata; Aves; Columbiformes; Columbidae. The transcript is spliced from 3 exons.